UCAGAACAAUGUGGUUUCAAUCUAUUCUUAGAAGCAGGCAGGAGGCAGCAGUUACAAGAGUUUUUUCCUGUUGAAGGAAACCAUUUGCAUAGGAUCAAGAGGCUUUUCUCCCCAGGCACGUUCCUCUCCCUGCACUUAAGCUGUUUUCUUCCUUUCUUCACCAUGUCAGGAGUUCUCAUAGUCUGCAAAUAUCGGGAGCUUUUCUAUGUGAGAGUUGGUUUCUUUCCCCUUUUGGAAGUCAUCUUACUAAGCCAGGACCCCAAUUUAUGGGCUUCCUCUUCUCUCUCUUGUUUGAGGAGAAUCCAGUUCCAAAGCUUCACCUUAGCAUUCAGUUUAUGAUAAGGAGGGACACCUGGGACUUAAUGAGUCCAUGCACUCUCCUGAGGCACAUUUGUCCCAAAUUCAAUGUCAAGCUUCUGGUUGAAGCCCUAGAAAGAAAAACUUCAUGCAAGGGAUCCAGAGGCAGAUGACAGCAGAAGUCAAGGGGCACAGCAGAGGUACUCUCAAACACACGUUUCUGAUAACUUUGGAGAUUGUGACAUUGGAAUAGAGGAAAAACGUACAGGACAAAUGAAGAGCUAAAAUGUUCAUGAAUAUCAAGCAGAACAAGAGAUAACAGAAUGGACUGAACUUACAGAAAACUAAAGUAAUCCUUUUUAACUUUUUGCUUUAAACAUUGUUGAUCCUUUGUUUUUCAACGUGAGGAAAACCUUUAUAUUGAGUUCAUUACAGCUUUUAACAAUUGAGUAAGGUAUACUUCUGUGAACAAGAUUUGGAGCAUAUUUGUUUCUCUCUGCCUGGUUUCUCCAAAAUUUGGAAGCUAUAUCAGCAAGAUACAAUUGAAGAAACUAGUGGUUUUACCAAAGCUUUCACUGGAAUGCUGGAAGGGUGUGCUUCCCUUUCAGGAACCAAGCUUCACUUCUCAAGCCAAUAAAAGCCCCUUGGGAAAACUGGCAUCAUACCUUGUCUACACAGUCCCUGUACAGAUUUCCUAACAGGUGAUAAGUAAAGAUUGUAACUUUCUCACGGGCCCAGGUGCCCCAAGUUCUCUUGGAUCCUCAAGAAAAAAGAAAUGUAUCCAACUCAUAGGUAUUUGAGGGUACAAACCCAUGGCCGGGCUGGGCUUUAAAAAAUUUUAUCUGAGAUUCCAGUGGUGUUCCAGCAAAGCCAAUUUUUUAAAAGCCUGUGUGAAAAUAAUGAUUCUUGAUGCUCUUUAUGCAAAUAAUCAGGUCAAGGAUAAGACUAAAGUUUAUUUUGCAAACAACUCAGACCUAUUAUGAUUUGUCUUUAAGAAAAAUGAAUACUGGAGAGAGAAAAAUUACAUUUCAAAAUUUAUCAUAAAUGUGUCAUUAAAAUCUAGUCUCAUUAGCAUUUUUUAAGCUUUUGUCUGCAUUUUAGACUGAACUUGCUUAUACCUGUGAACCAACCAGGGAUUUCUGGCUGCAGCUCAGAAGGAACAAAAGGGAUGUCUAAUGUAAAAAUCUGGAUUAAUAUUCUAAUUCUGGGCAAUUAUCUUGCAAAUUCUGCCAGGUGAUGAGGGUAAACCCAUAACCUGGAGAUUACUAUGUUUGGGAAAAUAAGACCAAACAAGCUGACCAAAGCAAAGCUCCAGGCACCCAAGUCUUAGCAGGUAACUGGGCAUGCUGGCAUCCUCAGGAUUUUUGAACUGUCCUUACCCCUUGUUCCAUGUCAAUCCAUGUUUUUUAAUUACUCAGUUUGUCUCUUCUAGCCUUCAGUCCAUCAAAUUCAAAUGGUCAUGCAACCAGAACAUUGGAUGAUCGCUCUCUUCUACCAAGGACCCUUAGAUAGGCCUCCAAGGGAGAUCUGACUGCUGUCUUCCCAAAACAGUGUACCCUGUCAGCAAAAAGUAGUUAAGAUCGGUCAUGAUCCUUAUCCCAAUGGCAGUUAGAUGUACCACUUCAUAGGAAGGAAUUGAUAGCAGCAGGAGCCAGGCAAAUGCCUAGGCAGAUAGGGUCAGGUCCCACGUGAAACCCCAACUUCAAGCAGAAGGCAGUUUAAAGCCUGGCUAAAAGUCCCAGGUAAAUCCACAGACCAGUGGAGAUUGUCUUCCCAUUUGGUGUACUUUCCUCUGAUCCCUACUCUUCACCUAUUUUACAUAUUCCUACCCUUUCCUAGUUGGUUUUCUACACUGCUGUGCCCACCUUUGAGUGAUGCCUUUGCUUUAGCCUUUCUUUGCAUACUCACCACCAAUCAGCACACACCCCCCUAUUCUAAGCCCUUAAAAGCCCUGAACUCAGCCAUGCUGGGAGAGAAACCACCUGAUGGUGGGAGUGGAGAACCACCUCCUGCAUCCCCUCUCCACUGAGAACUGUUCUAUUGCUCAAUAAAAUUCUUCUCCGCCCAUCCUCAUCCUUCAAUUGUCAGUGUAUCCUCAUUCUUCUUGGAUGCAGGACAGGAGUCUGGGAACCACUGAACGUGGGUACAAGCUGUAGCACAGGCAGGUCAAGUGGGUGGGGCACCUCCAGUGGCAGCCCAGGGCCAAGUGAGGCUGAACUCAGCUACAAGCUGUAGCACAGGCAGGUCGAGUGGGUGGGGCACCUCCAGUGGCCAAACGAGGCCCAGGAGGGACAAUGUUGCUGGUCUUUGAGGUCCUGUGUUCGCAAAAUGACCUAGAAAAAUCCUGU
RNAcentral lists this long non-coding RNA (2645 nucleotides) under Homo sapiens (human). RNAcentral's name for it is "HSALNT0252599". Lineage: Eukaryota; Metazoa; Chordata; Mammalia; Primates; Hominidae. The record is from RNAcentral.